This 253-nucleotide ribosomal RNA is filed under the name uncultured bacterium. RNAcentral describes it as "partial 16S ribosomal RNA". It matches the Rfam family "Bacterial small subunit ribosomal RNA", at positions 524 to 776 of the family's 1533-position model. The record is from RNAcentral.
UACGUAGGGUGCAAGCGUUAAUCGGAAUUACUGGGCGUAAAGCGUGCGCAGGCGGUUAUGUAAGACAGGUGUGAAAUCCCCGGGCUUAACCUGGGAACUGCAUUUGUGACUGCAUAGCUAGAGUACGGUAGAGGGGGAUGGAAUUCCGCGUGUAGCAGUGAAAUGCGUAGAUAUGCGGAGGAACACCGAUGGCGAAGGCAAUCCCCUGGACGGUAACUGACGCUGAGACGCGAAAGCGUGGGGAGCAAACAGG